AGUGGCGCACGGGUGCGUAACACGUAUGCAACCUACCUUACAUUGGGGGAUAGCCUUUCGAAAGGGAGAUUAAUACCGCAUAAGACAGUAGCUGGGCAUCCAGCAGCUGUUAAAGAUUUAUCGAUGUAAGAUGGGCAUGCGACCAAUUAGUUAGUUGGCGAGGUAAUGGCUCACCAAGACUAUGAUUGGUAGGGGAACUGAGAGGUCAAUCCCCCACACUGGCACUGAGAUACGGGCCAGACUCCUACGGGAGGCAGCAGUAGGGAAUAUUGGGCAAUGGACGCAAGUCUGACCCAGCCAUGCCGCGUGCAGGAUGAAGGCGUUAUGCGUCGUAAACUGCUUUUAUACAGGAAGAAACGACUCUUGCGGGAGGCAUUGACGGUACUGUAUGAAUAAGCACCGGCUAACUCCGUGCCAGCAGCCACGGUAAUACGGAGGGUGCAAGCGUUGUCCGGAUUUAUUGGGUUUAAAGGGUGCGCAGGUGGUUUAUUAAGUCAGUGGUGAAAGACGGUCGCUCAACGAUUGCAGUGCCAUUGAAACUAGUAGACUUGAGUAAAGUAGAGGUGGGCGGAAUUGAUAGUGUAGCGGUGAAAUGCAUAGAUAUUAUCAAGAACUCCAAUUGCGUAGGCAGCUCACUUGGCUUUUACUGACACUCAUGCACGAAAGUGUGGGUAUCAAACAGGAUUAGAUACCCUGGUAGUCCACACUGUAAACGAUG
RNAcentral lists this ribosomal RNA (718 nucleotides) under uncultured Flexibacteraceae bacterium. RNAcentral's name for it is "bacterial SSU rRNA". It matches the Rfam family "Bacterial small subunit ribosomal RNA", at positions 94 to 811 of the family's 1533-position model. Lineage: Bacteria; Pseudomonadati; Bacteroidota; Cytophagia; Cytophagales; Cytophagaceae. The record is from RNAcentral.